Molecule: ribosomal RNA, 554 nt
Filed under: uncultured bacterium
Lineage: Bacteria
Description: bacterial SSU rRNA
Rfam family: Bacterial small subunit ribosomal RNA
Source: RNAcentral
GGCAGCAGUGGGGAAUAUUGCACAAUGGGCGAAAGCCUGAUGCAGCAACGCCGCGUGUGCGAAGAAGGUCUUCGGAUCGUAAAGCACUUUUCUGGGAGAUGAGAAAGGACAGUAUCCCAGGAAUAAGUCUCGGCUAACUACGUGCCAGCAGCCGCGGUAACACGUAGGAGGCAAGCGUUAUUCGGAUUUACUGGGCGUAAAGCGCGUGCAGGCGGUUCGGUAAGUUAGGCGUGAAAGCUCCCGGCUCAACUGGGAGAGGUCGUCUAAAACUGCCAGACUAGAGGACAGUAGAGGAAGGUGGAAUUCCCGGUGUAGUGGUGAAAUGCGUAAAUAUCGGGAGGAACACCAGUGGCGAAAGCGGCCUUCUGGACUGUUUCUGACGCUCAGACGCGAAAGCUAGGGUAGCAAACGGGAUUAGAGACCCCGGUAGUCCUAGCCGUAAACGAUGUGAACUUGGCGUUGGUGGGUUAAUAUCCAUCAGUGCCGUAGCUAACGCGAUAAGUUCACCGCCUGGGGACUACGGUCGCAAGAUUAAAACUCAAAUGAAUUGACGG